UAUUUAUAUAUUAUUCUUUACCAUAUGUUUUCAGUAAGCCACCUUAGUUUAUCACUUGCUAAAAAUUCAAGUGCUGUCCUACUGGGAAUGAAAUGUUUUAGACUCUACGAGGUUUCCAGCCACCUUUACUUAACUAUUAAAAUCAUGUGAGAUGAGAUAAGCACCUUAAAUUAUAAAAGAUAAGUUUCAAGUAAGAAUGAAUAGUUCUCACUCCUAAUCCUACUCCUCAGCACAAUUAGAUUUUCUUACCCCUAUUUUAUCUACCAGAAAUGAAUCUCCCUGAAGCCGUGACUCACCCAGAGUCGCAGCAAUUUCACAUCUGAGAUUUGGACCCAGGUCUCUUCUAGAGCAGUGUUCUGUUACAGUACUGACCUUUCAGAACACAGCCUCGGCCCCAGCAGAGUUUUUCGAGACAGGGUCUCAUGUGCGUAGUGACUGUCACCUCCCCUGCCAUUCGCUCCCCGGGUUCUCCAGCCCGCGAGGUAGCUUGAGUGAACCCUGGCACAGUCCCCAGUGGGCGGGCGGCCCACCUCCGAGCAAGUGACGCACAGCCCUCCAUCCUCACAGCUCCCAGUGCUGAGGACGAAACCCUUGUCUUGAUCCACACCUUACGGGGCGGGAGCCACAGGACACAGACCCCGUCCGUGUCCAGCAUCGCCUGGCCACCUGGCCUUGGAGUCUGUGUGGCCGGGGGACCACUCUUGCUGCCCACGCGCUCCAGCUCUUCCCUCCAUGCGCUUCUUGGUUUGUAUCAGCCCCGCCUGGGGCACUUGCUCCCCACACCCUGCCGACUUCCGCUCCCCUUCCAGGCUCUGGGGCCUCAAGGUGAACUCCAAAGGCAGCUGCACAUGUCUGUGUCCCUCCGCCCUCCCUCCAGGCCGCCCACUGGCUCCCCUGGUUGUCGCCCUGUGGGCCCCUGGGAGAGGGUGUCGCUGUUGGGAUCCCCAUCACAUUGGGGCCUUGUCCCCAGUGUGCUCAGUGUGACACUCGGGAUAUUUUAUAAAAGAGGUUUCUGUCCCUGUGAGAUGCAAGCGAGUGCACAUAGAGCUGAAGACGUAAAAAUCGCGACUGGAGGAUGGCAGGAGUGGCCAACUUUCUAAGACAACAUGCAUGUAUUCUUGUAAAGAGGCAUUUUCAGAAUUGGCCCUGUAUCUGAUAAUGGUAUGAGGACACUGGCAUUGUCCCUGCAGCACAAAAAUGGCAGUUGUUUCUUUCGGUACUUUAUCAUGCAGUAUUGCGUUAUCAUUGUAGGAAGCUAACAGUGAGAAGAGUUUGAAAAAAAUACAGUGUAAAUUUCCACCACCCCCAGAUACACGCAGUGAACACUGGGGCAUGCGUGUUGCUGACUUUUACAUGUCCGUCUCUGUGUGCACUCUUCUAAAUGGAAUUGUACCUACCACUUUUAGGCCAGCGUUUCCCAUUUAGUGUGCACUGGCUAUCGUUCCUGUGUGUGGCUACUGCACAGUUUCUAUAGCCCAGGUACUGCUGAUUGACAGCUGGAUUAUGGCUGGAUUUUCUGCUGAUGCAUAUAUGUUAAGCAUCUUCGUAGUUAAUUCUGUGCACACCUGUCUAACACGUUUUCAGAAAUGGAUGUGGGAAUGUGCACUUUUCUUUAAGGCUCUUAUAGCUGUUGCUUGAUUGCCUCCUGUGCUCCAGGAGAAAGUGUGGGUUUUCUUUCUUUUUUUUUUUAAUAGCAAAACAUUUAUUGGUACAUUUUAGGCAUACGCAAUGAUAACACCCAUCGUAGGGAAUUGCAUCUGCACACUAUAUAUCCCGCCUCUUUUUUCCCUUUCUCCCCUCCCUCCAGCCCCUCCCCCAUUGUACAAAAGCUGUUUCCAUUUUUUCCUAUUUUCACUUUUUUCUUGUUCCUUCCUUUCUCCCUCCCCCUCCCUCGUUCCCCUUCCCCUUUGAACGUUUUCUUCCCAUUUCCCCAUAUCUAUUAUACAUUUUAGUCCUUAUUUCCAUUUUCAGUUUCUCACACCAGAGAAACAAUGUGGUAUUUAAACAUACCGUCUCAAGGUGCAUCCAUUUAGCUAUAAAUGUCUGAAGCUCAUGAAAGUUUGUCUCUUUCAUCUCCCAGUUUAAUAGCUUAAGAAUGGUGCCAUCAGACUUCUCCUUAUCGAUCCUUGCAAGUUCCCUGCAUUCUUGGUCAUUUGUUUUUCUUUUUGUUUUUGGUACGGGGGAUCGAACUCAGGACUUUGCGCUUGCGAGGCAGGUGGUGGCACCACUGAGCUACAUCUCCGGCCCUGUAUUUCUUUUU
Heterocephalus glaber (naked mole-rat) is the source of this 2260-nucleotide non-coding RNA. Lineage: Eukaryota; Metazoa; Chordata; Mammalia; Rodentia; Bathyergidae. The record is from RefSeq and is a predicted model, not a curated record.